This 433-nucleotide ribosomal RNA is filed under the name uncultured bacterium. Its description in RNAcentral is "partial 16S ribosomal RNA". It matches the Rfam family "Bacterial small subunit ribosomal RNA", at positions 29 to 507 of the family's 1533-position model. The record is from RNAcentral.
AGCGAACGCUGGCGGCAGGCCUAACACAUGCAAGUCGAACGAACUCUUCGGAGUUAGUGGCGGACGGGUGAGUAACACGUGGGAACGUGCCUUUUGGUUCGGAAUAACUCAGGGAAACUUGUGCUAAUACCGAAUGUGCCCUUCGGGGGAAAGAUUUAUCGCCAUUAGAGCGGCCCGCGUCUGAUUAGCUAGUUGGUGAGGUAACGGCUCACCAAGGCGACGAUCAGUAGCUGGUCUGAGAGGAUGACCAGCCACACUGGGACUGAGACACGGCCCAGACUCCUCGGGGAGGAAGCGGGGGGGAAUUUUGCGAAGGGGGAGAAAGCCGGACGCAGCCAGGCCGGGUAAAGGAGGAGGGUCUUAGGUUUGAAAAUUUUUUCCCCGGGGGACGAAAAGGAGGUUCCCGGGAAAAGAAGCCCGGGCAAACUUCGUC